This 444-nucleotide ribosomal RNA is filed under the name uncultured bacterium. RNAcentral's name for it is "bacterial SSU rRNA". It matches the Rfam family "Bacterial small subunit ribosomal RNA", at positions 331 to 792 of the family's 1533-position model. The record is from RNAcentral.
CCAGACUCCUACGGGAGGCAGCAGUGGGGAAUAUUGCACAAUGGGCGCAAGCCUGAUGCAGCGACGCCGCGUGAGCGAAGAAGUAUUUCGGUAUGUAAAGCUCUAUCAGCAGGGAAGAAAAUGACGGUACCUGACUAAGAAGCUCCGGCUAAAUACGUGCCAGCAGCCGCGGUAAUACGUAUGGAGCAAGCGUUAUCCGGAAUUACUGGGUGUAAAGGGAGCGUAGACGGAUGUGCAAGUCUGAUGUGAAAGGCGGGGGCUCAACCCCUGGACUGCAUUGGAAACUGUAAAUCUUGAGUGCCGGAGAGGUAAGCGGAAUUCCUAGUGUAGCGGUGAAAUGCGUAGAUAUUAGGAGGAACACCAGUGGCGAAGGCGGCUUACUGGACGGUAACUGACGUUGAGGCUCGAAAGCGUGGGGAGCAAACAGGAUUAGAUACCCCAGUA